AUAUACGACCGUACCGCAAACCGACACUGGUGCGCGAGAUGAGUAUUCUAAGGCGCUUGAGAGAACUCAGGAGAAGGAACUCGGCAAAUUGACACCGUAACUUCGGAAGAAGGUGUGCCCUAUUAGUGUGAAGUGAACAACGGAGCAUGAAUGGGUUGCAAAAAAUCGGUGGCUGCGACUGUUUAUUAAAAACACAGCACUCUGCAAACACGAAAGUGGACGUAUAGGGUGUGACGCCUGCCCGGUGCUGGAAGAUUAAAUGAUGGGGUGCAAGCUCUUGAUUGAAGUCCCAGUAAACGGCGGCCGUAACGAUAACGGUCCUAAGGUAGCGAAAUUCCUUGUCGGGUAAGUUCCGACCUGCACGAAUGGCGUAACGAUGGCCACACUGUCUCCUCCUGAGACUCAGCGAAGUUGAAAUGUUUGUGAUGAUGCAAUCUCCCCGCGGAAAGACGGAAAGACCCCAUGAACCUUUACUGUAGCUUUGUAUUGGACUUUGAACAGAUCUGUGUAGGAUAGGUGGGAGGCUUUGAAGCAGGGUCGCUAGAUCUUGUGGAGCCAACGUUGAAAUACCACCCUGGUGUGUUUGAGGUUCUAACCUAGGUCCAUUAUCUGGAUCGGGGACAGUGCAUGGUAGGCAGUUUGACUGGGGCGGUCUCCUCCCAAAGCGUAACGGAGGAGUUCGAAGGUACGCUAGUUACGGUCGGACAUCGUGACGAUAGUGCAAUGGCAUAAGCGUGCUUAACUGCGAGACUGACAAGUCGAGCAGAUGCGAAAGCAGGACAUAGUGAUCCGGUGGUUCUGUAUGGAAGGGCCAUCGCUCAACGGAUAAAAGGUACUCUGGGGAUAACAGGCUGAUACCGCCCAAGAGUUCAUAUCGACGGCGGUGUUUGGCACCUCGAUGUCGGCUCAUCUCAUCCUGGGGCUGUAGCCGGUCCCAAGGGUAUGGCUGUUCGCCAUUUAAAGAGGUACGUGAGCUGGGUUUAAAACGUCGUGAGACAGUUUGGUCCCUAUCUUCCGUGGGCGCUGCAGAUUUGAGGAAGCCUGCUCCUAGUACGAGAGGACCGGAGUGGACACACCUCUGGUGUAUCGGUUGUCACGCCAGUGGCAUUGCCGAGUAGCUAAGUGUGGAAGAGAUAACCGCUGAAAGCAUCUAAGCGGGAAACUCGUUUCAAGAUGAGAUCUGCCGGGGCCUUGAGCCCCCUGAAGAGUCGUUCAAGACCAGGACGUUGAUAGGUCAGGUGUGGAAGCCA
This 1250-nucleotide ribosomal RNA is filed under the name metagenome. RNAcentral's name for it is "bacterial LSU rRNA". It matches the Rfam family "Bacterial large subunit ribosomal RNA", at positions 1634 to 2876 of the family's 2925-position model. The record is from RNAcentral.